Molecule: transfer RNA, 72 nt
Filed under: Vicugna pacos (alpaca)
Lineage: Eukaryota; Metazoa; Chordata; Mammalia; Artiodactyla; Camelidae
Description: tRNA-Thr (AGT) (tRNA-Thr-AGT-17-1)
Rfam family: tRNA
About the family: Transfer RNA (tRNA) molecules are approximately 80 nucleotides in length. Their secondary structure includes four short double-helical elements and three loops (D, anti-codon, and T loops).
Source: Rfam by way of RNAcentral
GAGGGUAUAGCUCAGUGGUAGAGUGUGUGCUUAGUAUGCACAAGGUCCUGGGUUCAAUCCCCAGUACCUUCA